RNAcentral lists this unclassified non-coding RNA (395 nucleotides) under soil metagenome. Its description in RNAcentral is "partial contains 5.8S ribosomal RNA, internal transcribed spacer 2, and large subunit ribosomal RNA". The stretch from base 1 to 122 matches the Rfam family "5.8S ribosomal RNA", at positions 35 to 154 of the family's 154-position model. The record is from RNAcentral.
GAUGAAGAACGUAGCGAAAUGCGAUACUUGGUGUGAAUUGCAGAAUCCCGUGAACCAUCGAGUCUUUGAACGCAAGUUGCGCCCGAAGCCAUUAGGCCGAGGGCACGCCUGCCUGGGUGUCACACACCGUUACCCUCGCGCCAACGUCCAUCGUUGGCCGCGGCGCGGGGCGUGCGCUGACCUCCCGCGAGCGGGGUCUCGUGGUUGGUUGAAAAUCGAGUUCGCGGUCGAGGGUGCCGUGAUGAAAUGGUGGAUGGGCGACGCCCGAGGCCAAUCACGCGCGACUCUGUCCGGCCCGGACUCCUGGACCCCUUCGGCGUCUCCGGACGCUCUUUGGCGAGACCUCAGGUCAGGCGGGGCUACCCGCUGAGUUUAAGCAUAUCAAUAGCGGAGGA